GACGAACGCUGGCGGCGUGCCUAAUACAUGCAAGUCGAACGCUGAAGGAGGAGCUUGCUUCUCUGGAUGAGUUGCGAACGGGUGAGUAACGCGUAGGUAACCUGCCUGGUAGCGGGGGAUAACUCUUGGAAACGAUAGCUAAUACCGCAUAAGAGUAGAUGUUGCAUGACAUUUGCUUAAAAGGUGCAAUUGCAUCACUACCAGAUGGACCUGCGUUGGAUUAGCUAGUUGGUGGGGUAACGGCUCACCAAGGCGACGAUACAUAGCCGACCUGAGAGGGGGGUCGGACAAACUGGGAAUGGGACACGGGCCAGACUCCUACGGGAAGCAGCAGUAGGGAAUCUUAGGGAAUGGACGGAAGUCUGAACGAGCAACGCCGCGUGAGUGAAGAAGGUUGUCGGAUCGUAAAGCUCUGGUGUAAGAGAAGAACGAGUGUGAGAGUGGAAAGUGCACACUGUGACGGUAUCUUACCAGAAAGGGACGGCUAACUACGUG
This 495-nucleotide ribosomal RNA is filed under the name uncultured bacterium. RNAcentral's name for it is "partial 16S ribosomal RNA". It matches the Rfam family "Bacterial small subunit ribosomal RNA", at positions 28 to 507 of the family's 1533-position model. The record is from RNAcentral.